RNAcentral lists this microRNA precursor (86 nucleotides) under Otolemur garnettii (small-eared galago). RNAcentral's name for it is "miRNA (ENSOGAG00000017283.1)". The record is from RNAcentral. Lineage: Eukaryota; Metazoa; Chordata; Mammalia; Primates; Galagidae.
UCCCCUGGAGAUCUUGUUAAAAUGCAGAUUUGUAAGUCAGGGGCGGCCCUGAGAUUCUGCAUUUCUAGCAAAUUCUCAAGUGUUGC